UCUUUGUGGAAAAUCUCAACGAGAGCAUUUCUGCGUGGUUACACCGCUGACCCAUCUCAUCCCUCAGUGGGCACGGGGAUUUGUUCCAGGCCCAGCUCGGGACCCUACCAAGACCUUGGAGAUCCAUGCAGAAACACUGCUCUCUCUCCUGGGCAGACCCUGCAGUAGUGAAGGAUCAGUCCAUAGUCCUUGGGAGUGAUUUCAAAGGGGGCUCGUGUGAUGAGAUGUCAAAUUAGCCUACUGGGGACUGUGCCCAUUGGGGAUGACGAUCCAGGGAAGUGUUCUUGCCACCCCCAUUAGCUAUCUCCCUUUUUACUCUCAGCCUCGCUGGGGCAAAAGUCCUGAAGGGGUUGAUGCAUAGCUAUGGGCUGGUUGUGCUUCUGGUAUGAGGAAGAUUUUCUCCCUAAGCCUGGCCUGCUUUGCCUGCAGAGGGUUUGUUUAUAAUGGAGAGCUGAUGUGUAUGAGCUAAAAACAGUAGGGACAAGGCCAUUUUCUUUUGCUGCCAUAUAAAUCUGACAAAGAUUCUUGCUCCUCUCUCAUCUGGGCAAACCUCACCCAGUUUUAUCACCACUCAAAUACAAGUGCUUUGUCUUCACUGUGUUUUUGGCUCAGGUACAUCAUCCACUCUAGUUACCCUGAGGCUAAGAAACAAAAGAUUCCCCGCGCCAUUAUUCCACAGCUCUACACCAGUGAAGGAAAUGUUUGGAAGCGUUUGCUCUUCUGGGUCAAGAAGCUAAGCUCUGAAUAAGGGUUCUGCUGGCCGCACCAGCCUAGAGGGAGGUGGAGGAAGGUUUGUGUGCCUCUUAGCUCAGCAAGGAGGAGAAGGGCUGUCCAUGCUCCCAUCUCAAAGAGAUGCUGUGCCAUUUAGUAGCAAUGAAUCGCCCCUUUCCAAGGGAAAGCAAAGAUUAGGGAAAGGGAACACAGAUACUGAGACCAACUGUUAUAGAACAUCAAUUUUUUGUCUCUAUAGUUAGGAAAGAAGAUCAGGUGGGUUAGGUAGAAGUCUGUCUGUCCUUCUAGGAAAAAGGACUAAACUGAACCUCUGUAAUGUGCAGUGGAAAAACUUCCAGAGAAAUGUGGCAAGCUAGAUUUUAAAGGAAAGCUGUCUUGUAAGGAAGAGCAAUAAAGAGAGCCACCACCUUGAACUGUGAAAGGAUGAGAUAGGUCACUUGCGAGGAUAUGCUGGGCAUUUGCCAUUCUUGUUACUGUUGAUAUCAAAACUGAUAAAUGUUCCUGCUGCCCAACAGUGACCUGCUAACAGCAGCCUUCUCCCUCUUGGACAAAAGCUUUCUUCUUGACCAGUUGCUAGUGACCAUGCACAAAUGAUAUGCCUGACCUUCAUGCAAUGUUUGAGCCCACAGACGCCAGCUCACAUGGUGUAGAUAUGAUGUAGUAGCAAAGGAGGUUGUCAUCCUGCCAAAGAAGGGAACAAGAGGAAGCAAAACACCUCUGAAUGAUGCUGGCUAUCCUAUCCAGAGGGAACCUGUGGUCGCCUAUAGAAGGUUAUGCUCUAGGAAGGCUCCUUGAUUAUGAGCAGACUCAAUCACUCAGACUUUGUUUUAGCAAGCAAGAAACUAAUUCUGUGUGGCCAAGCACAUCUUGAUGCACAACAUAAUAUAUAAAGAAGCAUCUCACCUUAGUACCUCUUUUCUGCUGUUAUUUAAUUCUUUAUGUCAUGGGUAUCAGAAUCUUUUUUGUUUUUUUUUUCUUUUUUUUCUUUUACCCAAGGUGCUUGAAAAAAUGGGGUAACAAUAGGAAGUAAACAAGUUAAGAACAAUGUGGUCAAUGUAGCUUGGAAAAUAAUUUCUCUCUGGGUCCUGGUAUCUGUCUGGAAAUCCAUCUCUUGCCAAACAUUUUUGAUGACAGGUGCUUGUGCUUUUGCAUCAUUGUGCUUGUUUGAGUAUGGCUCAGAUAAGUUUGAGGAGUCUUCAGUCUGUUUCCCACUGCUGGAGCUGAGCAUCUGUUUUCCGCAUACUUCUGCGCUAAUUAAAUGAUAUACAGUAAUGAAGAUGAACCAGAGGCAGGCCAGAGAUCCCAUAAAAGCAUUUCACUCUUCUCUAUUCUCUUUGCCUGAAGUCAAGUCAUACGUAGUACUUUCCAGACAGUAACUCCCUAGCUCCUGUCAAGACUUUUUCAAUACAGUUAAGUAUUCUUUCAGGUUUAUUUGUUUUCCUCUUUCUUAUCUUUCUGUUUGCAGCAUAACAUUUAUAAAUAUAUAUGUAUAUGUGUACAUAUAUUUUAUCUUGCAAUUCCAUCUCUGGAAGAGAAAACAUCAUUCUUUCAUCAAAGGAGAAAUUCACCCACUGACCUGGAGGUAAUUUGAAUAAUGAACUAAGCUAGUUUUUGAUGUUUGUGUAAACAGCACAGAAGUGUCAGAUUCUGUUCUCCUUGUAUCUGACAUGAUAGAUGUGAGAUCAAAGACUGCCUUCAGUAACGGCAGCAUGUCAGACUUGCAUUAUUGAGGGAAAUGUUCCUAGAGCUAUCAGCUCAUUGCUGUCAUAUGAAAGCCAAUUGAUAUUUUCACUGUAUCUCCCUCAAUGUGGAAGGGGAGGUGAAGGUCAACGCAAUAAGUUCCUGCGCUGAUUUCUCCUUUCAGGAAUCAAAUUUGUCAUUGUCUAUCAAUGAAAUUAAUUUGCUUGUCUGAAUGCAUGAAGGAUGAAGCAAGACUUUAAAGCGGGUCUGUACAGAAUCCUGUGCCUGUGUCUGAUUGGGGAUCUCCAGAGCUGGAGUUUAGGGAUAACAGAGGGAGUGAGGAGUCUGUUGGCUCAAGAAUGAGAAGGAGGAGUUAUAAGUUAGGUGAAUAGUGAAGAGAAGGUUAGGAUACCCUGCCACUAAGGCAACUGUACUGCUAUUGAGUCAAUUACUGCAGGAAUUUUCCCUCUAAGUGCUUGACUGACAGAUAAUAGUAAAGGAAAGGAAUAGGUUUUCUGGCUUUGCAUUCUCACAAGGAGAUGUAUAGGAGUCCUGGUGGAUGAUCCUCAGGUUGGAAAUGCUAAUGAUGCAGCCUGCUCCUUCACUGAAGAGUAGCAGUGCUUUGCUUAGUCAGAAUGAACAUUUUUCUCUUGAGGAAAACAAAGAAAAGAAGUUUGAAAGACUGCCCACCAGAUGUGGGCAGGGUAGCCUUCAGAGCUGGAAAGUCUUCAGGAUUUCCUCCAUGUACAGGUGUUGGUUCUGAUGUUUUACUGCUGCCUUUGAGCAGUGUGAGGGAACUGGCAAACAUGACCAGUAUUUUCCUUGUCUCCGCAAGUGAAAAUGCAGUGGGCAUCCGACACAUGCAUUUACUCAAAACCAUGCUGCUGACUUGUUCUUUCCUUGGAUCAUCCAUCAUGGUCAGGUAGGACAUUAACUUCUACAGCACCUUGUUCAGGGGACCACAACAGGGAACACACCUGAUUUACUUGAAAAACAGCCCAUCACUUCUGAUAUUUGAAAUCAGAAACCAAGAGUUAGCUGGGUGUAUGGAUUUUGCUGGUAUUAUGGUCUUCUGUGGCAGCCAAUUAACAGCAAGCACUAAGAUUGGCAAAGUGAAUAUAUAUCAAAGAGGACUGAGUGACUUUUAUUGAACCUGACUGUUGAUACAGAAUCUUAAUGGUCCCAAUGUUUUCUGAUCACCCUUGCUGCAUAUGCUUGAGCCAUUGCAGGCACAGAGGAAGAGGGUCAGGACUUGGCAGCGGAUAUCUAGCAAGAAAGGGCAUGGCAAGAAUGGGAAAGCUGUGGAAGCUGGAGGCCAGCACGGAUGUAAUAGGUGAGAACAGCAGUGAGAACUGACAUAGAGCAAAAUAUCUCAGAAGAGCAUAACUAGAAGAGCAUUACCAGAAAGACCUGUCAAAAUAGAUGUAAAAUCAGGAGACUAGCAGAAAUCACAAGAAUGAGCAGGACCACACACACACAACUUCUGAUGAUGGCUGAACAUAGUCGUCCACCCCAAGUGGUGCUGGAGGACCACAAAGCCCAAGAAAUGAGGGGUCUCCACAGUGAUAGGACCUGGAAUUUUUCUCCAGUGGGAGAAACAGCUGCCAAACUCAGCAAGCUUUGUUUGUCGGUGGAAGCUGAUGUGGCUGCUCUGUAACGAAAUACAGAUACAAUUUCUUUAGGAACCUAGCAGGCAAGACUGGAGCAAAGACGUGGGGGAAGAAUAGAGACCUGUAACAUAGGCCCACCUCAUCUCUUCUGUCUGCUAGAAUCCUCUGAUACGCAAUGUAUUUUCAUGUCUCAGGAGUGUACUAUCUCUAUUUGCACCUUUUAAAGUCCUGCAUAGUAGCACAAAGGGAAUGGCAAAAGGAAGUUGUAGGAGUCAAGAGAACUGUGCUAUGGAAGGAAGAGAUCCUCAUCAGUAUUUCUGCCAUCAAUUCUUUGGGGAGUUAUAAAAAAGAAAAUCCCAAAGCCCAAACCCUACACUAAAUUUGCACUUGUUCUCUCAGGCCGGCAGCCUAGAAGUUCAUAAACUCAGAAUGACCUUGUUCUGGAAUAAACUGUCCUGAAAACAGUUUGCAAUGGCUUCACCGAGUUUGCUUUGCUGGUGGCAGCCCUUCGGCUCCAAGCUGGCAUGUGUAUGAAGCUCUUUGAACAAGUUUUGACCUUCCUUUAGCCCCUCUGCCCAUCAAGCCAGGUAAUGACAUGCUUCGUAUUGCACAGAACACAUACAAUUGACAAGUUCAUAGUGGUGUUUAAAUAUUAAACAAUCUAGACAGGCUUUUGAGUCUUCUGCCGCUAUGAAAAGGCUCAGACCAUACCCAUCUUUGAAAUCGGGCUGCGGGAUCAUUUGCACAGUAAGACAGACAAUAAGACUUGUAUACAUUGCCAUGCAACAGAAGAGACCCCGAACCGCCAGCCCUAAGUGGAAAGUUUAUUUCUAAGCACAAUAUAUGGAAAAACCAAACCAACAAACCCCACAGAUAUAGAAAACGUUGUAGCAAAUCCCUGGUCAAGUAGGACUUCAUGUUGGUCACUACCCUGCACCUCACAGCUGCUUAAAAUGUCAUGCAAUGGAGGAGAGGGCACUCAGACGACACCCUCUGCUUCGGAUCAAGGAGGAUCUCCAAGCAGGAGAGGGCCCGUGGGACUCCUGCUGAGCGAUUCAGGCUGUAACCAGCAAAAGGGCAGUGCUGCUCACCCCCAACUACGCGCCUCGGGACUACCUGUGGCACGCACGCGCACGUGACUUAGCACUUCAGCAGGCUUUACGAACGUGGAUUCUCACAACACCCCUGUGAGGUAGGUACGUAUUGUUAUUCCCCCGUUGUGUGGGUGGGGGACUGAGCCAAACAGCCCAAGGCUACAGAGUCGGUGGCAGAGCUGGAGCAAGAGUAUGCAGAGUCCUGUGUGAUCAGAUCACUAGGUCACACCACUCCUUCACGGCAGUUGUGCUUCUGACUUUAUAAACUUUUAGCCUUUUGCCAAAUUAAAGGAAUUUGACUUCUCCAUAUUAAACAAGUGGAGGACAGGGAGGGAAACAACAUUACGUCUGACAGCCUUCUCUUCAUUGGUGUAUGCCUCCCCCUUCCCAAAACCACCGCAAUUACCUGUCUCUGGGAAUGAGCACAGUUUCCAGGACAGGCAUGGGGGUGAGAGGCUGUUAAGUUUGCUUCCUUUGACCAGGUUUCUCUCUACUGUGGAUCAGAAGUGGUUCUUCCAGAGACCCUUCACUGCAACACUUUCAGUCUACGGGUAGCUGCUUUUACAGAUGAUCAGAAUUGCCCCUUCCCUCUCCCUUCUCCCACCAACAUCUCUUCCCUCACCUCAGCCAAAAGCACUCUUUGGUAGAUAAUAAAUAAAGUUGGUCAGAUAGAGGUACAGUGGCCUCAGAAACCGCGCUGUUCACAUUGGUCCUCAGUAAGUCAGCUUUCUUGGCUGGUGUUUCACCUCCCACACUUUCUGCCAGAGAAGUACCUGUUCUGUUGCAUUCUGAUAUUCAAAGGGACACUGUCAAGUAAUCUAGAUGAAAAAAAUGACCUCCCUUAAGAUGUUAACCUCCAUCUUCAACAUUGCAGAAUGGCUGGUACGUUCAAACCUGGAGGUUAAAGUUUGAGACCUUCCCCAGUCCAGAAACACCUGGCCCAUGACAGCCUAGCUGCCGAAGGAGCCGGUGACUUGCAUUUGCCAUGGCUCCAGUAAAAGCUGUGAGAGGUGCUGGUACAACGACGAAGGGCAGUCAGACACAGCCAUUGUGCAACGUUGCUCAGCGCUUCUGCAGAACAGAUGCAGCUUGGCUGAAGUCCUUAUAGUAAUUUUGGGGAGGGCUGGAUCCAGGCUUGAUUGCUGCAGGCUCAUUGUUUUGGGAUUGCUGAACUGUUGCUCCUCAAUUAGCUGAUCUCUGUAUUUCUAGGUUUCCUACUCUUACACUUGAUUUGUGGCAAACCGGCUCAACCCCGUAGAGCUGGGAGUUACCCUCCAUGGAGUGAGGACAGUGAGCAGGAAAUCAGUAACAUGGAUUUCUUCCUGUUGCAGAUGAAAGGUGGAGAGAAGGACAGGGAUGGUGAAAGGAAUGGGGUGAGUAGAAAGAACGCUACAUGCCCAAAUGGAAAAGAACAAUAUCAGUAGGGAAAGAAAUUUUAUUUUCAAGAUUGUAAGAGAAUAUUACAAACAAUGGAGAGUAAAAAAAGCCCAAACCCUAAAAACUAUUUAAAAAGUACUUGACAGUGUCCCUUUAAUAUCCACAAAUGAUUCAGACAUUGUGCAUUGAAAGAGAAUGUUCCUGAAGAGCAACCAGUACCUUCGUGGAUAUAUCCCAGAGAAGGAGACUUAUUAUAAGUGUUACAUAUUCAAUCGGCAACUGUGCUCCCUCUUCAGACUAACUCUCUGUUGAAUGAUUGAACGGAAUAGACUCUGUAAUAAACAAACUGGAUGUAAAAGGCUCAGCCUACAUGACUGAGUGAGACUGUUACAAAUUGAGCAGCAGGGAUAAAGACACUGGAAAAAAUGUACAUCUUAGAUGUAUGAGUGUCUGAAUCAGCAAAAUAGUAGAAACCCCCGGAGGUGGGUCAGCUUCUUGUGACUGGAGUGAAAUGGAAGGAAAUUAACCUGGGAUGUCUGCAUGGAAAAUGAUGUGCGUGAGUGGGACGAUUUGGAUGCUGGAUUUGGGGUUAUGAAGGCAUAAAUCACACUAGUACUUGUGCUUGAAACACCUGUGGAGAGUUUGUACAAAAUUUGCCAGAAACGCCUAUACGUCGAAUAAAGGUCAUGGAACGCCCUCCCCCCCGCCCAACUCCACCCUCACAAACCCUUUGUCAGGAACGUUAUGAAAAAUCAGGAUUUUUGUUUUGGUGAAAUUUGGGCACACCUGGGUUUUGUUACAUUUUCUUGGCGAGAUGAUUCAAUCUGUAAAUCACUACUGAAACGUUCCCAGCCAUUUCACUUCAGAAAUCCUAUGGUAAAUCAAACAAGGUUCCAUAGUGACUCAUGAACAAAACGACUCAUAGCCCUGGUUAAUCACAGUCUGGAAAAAAACUACUCCAAAUAUUUCAUUCCCUUCCUUGUUUUUGUAAAUCUCACACGUUUGUGUGUGUGUGCGUGUGUGUGACAUUUGGCUGAGGGUGGAUAUUAC
Molecule: long non-coding RNA, 7543 nt
Organism: Cygnus olor (mute swan)
Lineage: Eukaryota; Metazoa; Chordata; Aves; Anseriformes; Anatidae
Exons: 4
Source: RefSeq, a predicted model, not a curated record